AACGAACGCUGGCGGCAGGCCUAACACAUGCAAGUCGAGCGGACCCUCCGGGGUUAGCGGCGGACGUGGGGGUAACGCGGGGGAACGUGCCCGUUGCUUCGGAAUAGCCCUGGGAAACUGGGAGUAAUACCGGAUACGCUCUUUUGGGGUAAGAUCUACCGGCGAAGGAUCGGCCCGCGUUGGAUUAGGUGGUUGGGGGGGUAAUGGCCUACCAACCCGACGAUGCAUAGCUGGUGUGUUAGGAUGAUAAGCCACACUGGGGCUGAGACACGGCCCAGACUCCUAGGGAAGGGAGCAGUGGGGAAUCUUAGACGAUGGGGGAAACCGUGAUCUAGCCAUGCCGCGUGAGCGAUGAAGGCCUUAGGGUUGUAAAGCUCUUUGACAGGGGAAGAUAGUGACGGUACCCGGAGAAGAAGCCCCGGCUAACUACGUG
This 433-nucleotide ribosomal RNA is filed under the name uncultured bacterium. RNAcentral describes it as "partial 16S ribosomal RNA". It matches the Rfam family "Bacterial small subunit ribosomal RNA", at positions 28 to 507 of the family's 1533-position model. The record is from RNAcentral.